UUCCGGUUGAUCCUGCCGGAGGCGACCGCUUUGGGAGUUCGAUUAAGCCAUGCGAGUCGUGAGUCCUAGGGACUCGGCAUACUGCUCAGUAACACGUGGAUAACCUGCCCUAUCGUCUGGAAUAACCUCGGGAAACUGAGAAUAAGGCCGGAUAGUUCACAAUGCCUGGAACGGUUUGUGAAUCAAGGUAGGAUGGGUCUGCGGCGUAUCAGGUUGUAGGGGGUGUAAAGGACCCCCUAGCCUUCGACGCGUACGGGUGUUGGGAGACAUAGCCCGGAGAUGGAUUCUGAGACACGAAUCCAGACCCUACGGGGUGCAGCAGGCGCGAAAACUUCACACUGCAGGAAACUGUGAUGAGGGAACUCCUAGUGCAUGCACUAUGUGUAUGUAGAUCCUACUCUUAACAAGUAGAGGGAAAGGGCUGGGAAAGACCGGUGCCAGCCGCCGCGGUAAUACCGGCAGCUCAAGUGGUCGUCGCUUUUAUUGGGCCUAAAACGUCCGUAGCCUGUUUGGUAAAUCUGUGGGUAAAUCAAUCCGCUCAACGGAUUGAAUUCUGCAGAGACUGCCAGACUAGGGACCGGGAGAGGUGUGGGGUACUCGAGGGGUAGGGGUAAAAUCCUGUCAUCCUUCGAGGACCACCAGUUGCGAAGGCGCCACACUGGAACGGAUCCGACGGUCAGGGACGAAGCUUAGGGGCACGAACCGGAUUAGAUACCCGGGUAGUCCUAGGUGUAAACGCUGUGAACUUGGUGUCGGGGGUCCGCAAGGGGUCCCCGGUGCCGGAGUGAAGAUGUUAAGUUCACUGCCUGGGGAGUACGGUCGCAAGGCUGAAACUUAAAGGAAUUGGCGGGGCAGCAC
This 858-nucleotide ribosomal RNA is filed under the name uncultured euryarchaeote. RNAcentral describes it as "bacterial SSU rRNA". It matches the Rfam family "Archaeal small subunit ribosomal RNA", at positions 1 to 879 of the family's 1478-position model. The record is from RNAcentral. Lineage: Archaea; Methanobacteriati; Methanobacteriota.